AGGGAAUCUUCCGCAAUGGGCGAAAGCCUGACGGAGCAACGCCGCGUGAGUGAUGAAGGUCUUCGGAUCGUAAAACUCUGUUAUUAGAGAAGAACAUAUGUGUAAGUAACUGUGCACAUCUUGAUGGUACCUAAUCAGAAAGCCACGGCUAACUACGUGCCAGCAGCCGCGGUAAUACGUAGGUGGCAAGCGUUAUCCGGAAUUAUUGGGCGUAAAGCGCGCGUAGGCGGUUUUUUAAGUCUGAUGUGAAAGCCCACGGCUCAACCGUGGAGGGUCAUUGGAAACUGGAAAACUUGAGUGCAGAAGAGGAAAGUGGAAUUCCAUGUGUAGCGGUGAAAUGCGCAGAGAUAUGGAGGAACACCAGUGGCGAAGGCGACUUUCUGGUCUGUAACUGACGCUGAUGUGCGAAAGCGUGGGGAUCAAACAGGAUUAGAUACCCUGGUAGUCCACGCCGUAAACGAUGAGUGCUAAGUGUUAGGGGGUUUCCGCCCCUUAGUGCUGCAGCUAACGCAUUAAGCACUCCGCCUGGGGAGUACGACCGCAAGGUUG
RNAcentral lists this ribosomal RNA (549 nucleotides) under uncultured bacterium. RNAcentral describes it as "bacterial SSU rRNA". It matches the Rfam family "Bacterial small subunit ribosomal RNA", at positions 356 to 896 of the family's 1533-position model. The record is from RNAcentral.